GGUCCUACGGGAGGCAGCAGUAGGGAAUAUUGCUCAAUGGGGGAAACCCUGAAGCAGCAACGCCGCGUGGAGGAUGAAGGUUUUCGGAUUGUAAACUCCUUUUGUUAGAGAAGAUAAUGACGGUAUCUAACGAAUAAGCACCAGCUAACUCCGUGCCAGCAGCCGCGGUAAUACGGAGGGUGCAGGCGUUACUCGGAAUCACAGGGCGUAAAGAGCGCGUAGGCGGGAUAGCAAGUGAGAUGUGAAAUCCUAUGGCUUAACCAUAGCAC
RNAcentral lists this ribosomal RNA (269 nucleotides) under uncultured bacterium. RNAcentral's name for it is "partial 16S ribosomal RNA". It matches the Rfam family "Bacterial small subunit ribosomal RNA", at positions 335 to 621 of the family's 1533-position model. The record is from RNAcentral.